AAUAUCCAGGUGUGUGGCUUGAACCUGGCAUACAAUGUAGAUUUCUGUAUUUUCUGGGCAACAGCUACAUUGUCUGCUGGGUUUCAGGCUACCUGGAAACGCAUUCU
RNAcentral lists this microRNA precursor (107 nucleotides) under Ochotona princeps (American pika). Its description in RNAcentral is "miRNA (ENSOPRG00000017687.1)". The stretch from base 13 to 96 matches the Rfam family "mir-221 microRNA precursor family". Lineage: Eukaryota; Metazoa; Chordata; Mammalia; Lagomorpha; Ochotonidae. The record is from RNAcentral.